UCAAUAAUAAAUUUAUAUAAACACCUCGUUAAAAAAGUAAUGUUAGGUCCAUGGGUCCAUCUACGUACUUAAGUAGGGCUACAGCAGACUAAUGAAAGGGCUGAGUAAUGAGAGGUCCUAACUUGUGGAGAUAUUCAAACUCGUCAAAAUCAUCAUCAUCAUCAAGGAUUGAGCUCAUUCAUCACAAUAUUCGUGAUCACCAUUAUCAUACAACUUUACCGUGAUCAGCAUCAGAAACCAUUUUCUUCACGCAUCUCAUUCGGCGAAUUUAGUAAGAAGUUCUGCACGUCACAACAAAAAUCAAAUUGGAUUUGAACCUGGUCCCUGAGAUGUAGAGGCAAGGCACCUACCAGUUCUACCAGUACCGGUACCUUACAAACCAGUACCAAUCCUACCAGUACCAGUUCUUUCCCACCCAGUACCAGUCAUAUCAAUCUUUACCUACAGUCCAUCAGGUGAUGGAACAAACCAACGGACGUUACAUCAACACCUGCUUAUAGCGAGUCCACAAACAGUUGCCUUUCAUUAGAGAGGAUUGCAGAUAAGAUAACAAAUCUCUGUUUGUUAUCAUUCACUUGCUGAUCAAACAGUUGCAUAGAAUGACCAGCUAGAAACUUGAUACUUUGUGAUAGAAGUGAAGUCUGUGAUGCUCUACCCAAUAUGAGGUGUAGGGACUGACCCUCAUUUUUACAGGAACCCAGGAACUUGAGGAUGUGUAGGGAGCAACCUUGAUUGUCGUCAGAGUACAUUACUAUUGUGCGCGCCUUUAAUCAGUGUUGACUUCACAAAGAUGUUAUAGUUAUCCAUGAGCUUUAUAAACUUUUCAAGCCAUUCAGUUGACUUCUAAAGGAUAGAGGCGGUUUUGUGUAAUAUUUGAACAGUCUAUAGUGGAGCUCUGUUUGAAUACAAUAAGAGGUUUGGAUAGUAUCGAAGAGGAAGUUUUUCAAAUCAAAAUUACACAAUGCGAUAGACGGCGAAAACAAAGAUGAUAUGGGUUUUUAAACCGUUGGUAGUUACUCAACCAGAUGAUAGACAAUAGACGGGUACAAGUUGCGUGCGAGAAACGUAUUAAACACACCUGUAGUUAAAGAGGGAUUUGAAGAGAAUGCCUGGAGGAUAAAUGUCGAACAAUAGAUAUCGGCCUAAGUUGGCUCUUAUGCUAUUGUUUCUGGGCGCUCUGCCACAACAUGUUUUUCAGCAUUCUUGUUCCGUUGAACCUUCUAAAAAGAAACUUUUAGUUUAGUAGAAGAAAGAGAAGAAUGCCUGUAUUAAUGGAGUCGGGGUGGUAUGACAUUGAUGGCGAUUAGAUUGAAAAGGAACUAAUAAUAAGUGAUUUAGUCAAUAGAAUUCAAUAAUACCAUAAAUCAACGUGAGAACAUAUUCGCUGAAUUUUAUUUUGCUCUUACAUUUUGGGGGCUUUUUAAUUUAUUGUUGUUGUUCUUUUUUUGAACGGAGUUGUCACGAUAUAUUUUGUAGUCGGAAAUAAAUACUCAACAACGAAAUUUAAGCAGUUAUAAGCAAGAAUGAUAUUGAAGUAUUAUUAUUAUUAUUGAUAUUAUUAUUAUAAUAAUAUAAUAGUAUUACCAAUACUAUUGUUAUAGUAUAAUAUCAUAAUAAUAAUUAUUAUAAUCAUUAUUAACAUUGUCUUUAUUUAAUACUGUUACUAUUGCUAUGUCAGUACUAUUUACUAUGAUGAUUAUUACUAUUAUGCAAGUCUGAUGAUGAUUAUUAUUAUUAUUAUUAUCAUUAUUAUUAUUAUUAAUAUAUAUAAUUAAACUCAACUCAGUGUUAGCUGACAACCAUGAGGUCUCACUGGAAAUAGUCUUUGGACUUUUGUGGUGGUUUACCUUGGUGUAUUUCAUGCUAAAGAACUCCGAAUACAAUCCAAAAAUGUGAUCAGAUUUAAUUUGAUCAGAUUUUAUCUGAUCUAGUUUUGUUUGAUUUUUUAUUCAGUAAAGUACUUUUUUACCUAUUAUUGACUUUUUGUUAUAAUUUGUCCAUGUGUUAAGUGGGUUUAAAAUACUAAAAAUAAUCAAUAAGAUUUUCAAUGAAAUAGGCAAUUAGUUCUGCAUUCUCAUUUUUCGCACCCAUUCCUCCUCCCCCACCAGCCGAAAAACCAGCCUAUGCCCCUGUUGUUAAUGUUUUAUAUUAUUUUAAAUAAAAAAUAAUCUGACUAAAA
This 2179-nucleotide long non-coding RNA is filed under the name Anneissia japonica. RNAcentral describes it as "uncharacterized LOC117121157, transcript variant X6". Lineage: Eukaryota; Metazoa; Echinodermata; Crinoidea; Comatulida; Comatulidae. The record is from RNAcentral.